This 497-nucleotide ribosomal RNA is filed under the name uncultured bacterium. Its description in RNAcentral is "partial 16S ribosomal RNA". It matches the Rfam family "Bacterial small subunit ribosomal RNA", at positions 28 to 507 of the family's 1533-position model. The record is from RNAcentral.
GAUGAACGCUGGCGGCGUGCCUAAUACAUGCAAGUCGAGCGAACAGACGAGGAGCUUGCUCCUCUGACGUUAGCGGCGGACGGGUGAGUAACACGUGGAUAACCUACCUAUAAGACUGGGAUAACUUCGGGAAACCGGAGCUAAUACCGGAUAAUAUAGUGAACCGCAUGGUUCAAUAGUGAAAGACGGUUUUGCUGUCACUAAUAGAUGGAUCCGCGCCGCAUUAGCUAGUUGGUAAGGUAACGGCUUACCAAGGCAACGAUGCGUAGCCGACCUGAGAGGGUGAUCGGCCACACUGGAACUGAGACACGGUCCAGACUCCUACGGUAGGCAGCAGUAGGGAAUCUUACGCAAUGGGCGAAAGCUUGACGGAGCAACGCCGCGUGAGUGAUGAAGGUCUUCGGAUCGUAAAACUCUGUUAUUAGGGAAGAACAAAUGUGUAAGUAACUAUGCACGUCUUGACGGUACCUAAUCAGAAAGCCACGGCUAACUACGUG